UACAGUAGAGAGGAGGAAUCGGCGGCAACUCCGUUCUUCAGGUUCUUCCACUGCCGCCGCCUCCGGGCUUUCCCCUCACCUUCGGCUGCCCUCUGGGCAGCUGGAGGUUGGGGGAACAUCGGAUCCAGGUGGCGCGUGUAUAUAGGUGUGGGGCUUCGUCCCCUGUUUGGGUCUUCGGCGCCGGAGUCUUGACGGAGCGGACGACGGCAAGUUCUUAAAUAAAGGGAGAAGGGUGGCUUGGUCUGUGGUCGAUUGUGGCUGGUUGGAGAGGGAUCCGGUCAUCUCUUACGAGGUGAGUUGGCGUCGUCCCCGGAUCUGAAGCAGGAGCGGCUCGGGGAGCAUCCUCAACAAGGGGAUCGCCUCCGACCGAUAUACUUUUGGGAUUUAGAUCCAGUUUCUUUUGAACUGGUAGCUGUUGCGGUUCGUCAACGCCAAUUUGGCAAGGGGUUACUCCUGCUCCAGGCUUGUGGCAGGACCGACGUCUUCUCCGGUGCCGGCUGUUCGUCGACGGCGGAGAAGUGGGCGCCGUGCGUUCACAACGUAGAUGGAAGUCUCUUGAGUCUCCUUUGCAAUACUCUUUGUGCGUGGGGUUUCCAUGUCUUUCGGCUACGGCUGGUGCUGCCUGUAUCCUUUGUAUCAUUGUGUAUUUGUACGUGUAUUAGUAUGUUCUGUAAUGUUUUCCUACUCGUAUGAAUACAAGUGACGUAUGCCUUUGGGUGUACGGUUUUAAAAAAAAUAUGCAUAUGUUACUAGUCUA
Molecule: long non-coding RNA, 757 nt
Organism: Triticum dicoccoides
Lineage: Eukaryota; Viridiplantae; Streptophyta; Magnoliopsida; Poales; Poaceae
Exons: 2
Source: RefSeq, a predicted model, not a curated record